This 67-nucleotide transfer RNA is filed under the name Idioscopus ventrispinus. RNAcentral describes it as "tRNA-Ile". The record is from RNAcentral. Lineage: Eukaryota; Metazoa; Arthropoda; Insecta; Hemiptera; Cicadellidae.
AAUAAGGUGCCUGAUUAAAAGGUUUAUUUUGAUAGAAUAAUUUAUGUAUAUAUUUAUACCUUUAUUG